This is a long non-coding RNA of Pleuronectes platessa (European plaice), 362 nucleotides long. RefSeq lists it as uncharacterized. Lineage: Eukaryota; Metazoa; Chordata; Actinopteri; Pleuronectiformes; Pleuronectidae. The record is from RefSeq and is a predicted model, not a curated record. The transcript is spliced from 3 exons.
CUGCAUCUUGGGAUAUGGAUGUGUGUUUCUUCAGGCUGCAGAAAGGGACACAAUACCUGGAAGAGCAGCAGACAGAGACCCAGAGGAACGUCCAUCACACAAAAGACAAAAAGGAAAUACAAGGGAAGCAGUUAAACACAGUCAUUGAGGAAUAAGCCCACUGAAGAGCAAGGCACAACAGAACAAUGUGUGAGUGUGAGGGACUCUUGGUCAUGCCGGGUUUAUCUAUCUUUGGCUGUGACCGAGAGCCAGUGUCUUUGUGAGGUUGGGUUGACAUGUGGUUCUGCUGACCACCCAGUGAUGGAACCAAAGAAGAAGAGGACACGAGCCAGCUGGAGAUGUUUAAAGUGUAUUUAUUGCAA